GCCGGUGUUUGCCGGCUCCUCUCGAAAUCAUUAGCUUUGAGUUGAUCUUGAUGGCUUGACCGGUGUGAUAAACAUCUACGCCGAUUCAUGCUGUCCUGAGCGACGACGUCGGAGACGCUCUGGCUUAUAACCGUCUUCACCGAAGGACAACACCCUGAACUUUUGAUCUCAAAUCAGGUAGGACUACCCGCUGAACUUAA
This 200-nucleotide unclassified non-coding RNA is filed under the name soil metagenome. RNAcentral's name for it is "partial contains internal transcribed spacer 2 and large subunit ribosomal RNA". The record is from RNAcentral.